GCCGGGCGUGGUGGCGCGCGCCUGUAGUCCCAGCUACUCGGGAGGCUGAGGUGGGAGGAUCGCUUGAGUCCAGGAGUUCUGGGCUGCAGUGCGCUAUGCCGAUCGGGUGUCCGCACUAAGUUCGGCAUCAAUAUGGUGACCUCCCGGGAGCAGGGGACCACCAGGUUGCCUAAGGAGGGGUGAACCGGCCCAGGUCGGAAACGGAGCAGGUCAAAACUCCCGUGCUGAUCAGUAGUGGGAUCGCGCCUGUGAAUAGCCACUGCACUCCAGCCUGGGCAAUAUAGUGAGACCCUGUCUCU
Molecule: signal recognition particle RNA, 299 nt
Filed under: Cavia aperea (Brazilian guinea pig)
Lineage: Eukaryota; Metazoa; Chordata; Mammalia; Rodentia; Caviidae
Description: Metazoan signal recognition particle RNA (ENSCAPG00000004837.1)
Rfam family: Metazoan signal recognition particle RNA
About the family: The signal recognition particle (SRP) is a universally conserved ribonucleoprotein. It is involved in the co-translational targeting of proteins to membranes. The eukaryotic SRP consists of a 300-nucleotide 7S RNA and six proteins: SRPs 72, 68, 54, 19, 14, and 9.
Source: RNAcentral